GCGCUUGCUUCAGCAGAACAUAUACUAAAAUUGGAACGAUACAGAGAAGAUUCCCACGGCCCCUCCCUGCACAAGGAUGACAUGCAAAUUCGUGAAGCGUUCCAUAUUAAA
Molecule: small nuclear RNA, 111 nt
Organism: Pteropus vampyrus (large flying fox)
Lineage: Eukaryota; Metazoa; Chordata; Mammalia; Chiroptera; Pteropodidae
Source: Ensembl